CCGCAACAUUCGAUGUGAUGGGGAAUCUUGAAAAAUUUUGGGAACUAAACAAGGCCUAAUCUACUCAAUCUCUCUAAUCUCUAAACAAGACUAGAUCUAGAAGAACUAGUCUCUCCUAAUUACUACAUCUAGAUGAACUAGAUCUAGAUGAACUAGAUCUAGAUGAACUAGAACUAGAAUAACUAGAGGGGCCCUAACCCUAAUUAUGUAGAGAAUAUAAAGCACCGGGG
Molecule: long non-coding RNA, 230 nt
Filed under: Sorghum bicolor (sorghum)
Lineage: Eukaryota; Viridiplantae; Streptophyta; Magnoliopsida; Poales; Poaceae
Description: long non-coding RNA (SBIC_LNC009290)
Source: RNAcentral